This 548-nucleotide ribosomal RNA is filed under the name uncultured cyanobacterium. RNAcentral describes it as "bacterial SSU rRNA". It matches the Rfam family "Bacterial small subunit ribosomal RNA", at positions 126 to 706 of the family's 1533-position model. Lineage: Bacteria; Bacillati; Cyanobacteriota. The record is from RNAcentral.
CUAGCUUCAGGUUGGGGACAACAGUUGGAAACGACUGCUAAUACCGAAUAUGCCGAGAGGUGAAAGAUUUAUUGCCUGAAGAAGAGCUCGCGUCUGAUUAGCUAGUUGGUGGGGUAAAAGCUUACCAAGGCGACGAUCGGUAGCUGGUCUGAGAGGACGAUCAGCCACACUGGGACUGAGACACGGCCCAGACUCCUACGGGAGGCAGCAGUGGGGAAUUUUCCGCAAUGGGCGAAAGCCUGACGGAGCAAUACCGCGUGAGGGAAGAAGGCUCUUGGGUUGUAAACCUCUUUUCUUAGGGAAGAAAAAAAUGACGGUACCUAAGGAAUAAGCAUCGGCUAACUCCUUGCCAGCAGCCGCGGUAAUACGGAGGAUGCAAGCGUUAUCCGGAAUGAUUGGGCGUAAAGCGUCCGCAGGUGGCAAAUCAAGUUUGCGGUUAAAGGUUCUGGCUCAACCAGAGACAGGCCGUGAAAACUGAUUAGCUAGAGUAUGGUAGGGGCAGAGGGAAUUCCCAGUGUAGCGGUGAAAUGCGUAGAGAUUGGGAAGAA